RNAcentral lists this ribosomal RNA (222 nucleotides) under uncultured bacterium. Its description in RNAcentral is "partial 16S ribosomal RNA". It matches the Rfam family "Bacterial small subunit ribosomal RNA", at positions 109 to 334 of the family's 1533-position model. The record is from RNAcentral.
AGUAAUGUAUGGGGAUCUGCCUGAUGGCGGGGGAUAACUACUGGAAACGGUAGCUAAUACCGCAUAAUGUCUACGGACCAAAGCGGGGGACCUCCGGGCCUCGCGCCAUCAGAUGAACCCAUAUGGGAUUAGCUAGUAGGUGAGGUAAUGGCUUACCUAGGCGACGAUCCCUAGCUGGUCUGAGAGGAUGAUCAGCCACACUGGGACUGAGACACGGCCCAG